RNAcentral lists this long non-coding RNA (223 nucleotides) under Ananas comosus (pineapple). RNAcentral's name for it is "long non-coding RNA (ACOM_LNC011899)". Lineage: Eukaryota; Viridiplantae; Streptophyta; Magnoliopsida; Poales; Bromeliaceae. The record is from RNAcentral.
UCAUAAUACUAAGUUAAAAAGAAAAAUACUAUCAUCCCUCUAAACUAACAAAUGGAAACAGUGGACUCGAUGUCAUGCAUCAACUAUCAUAUCAGAAGAAUAAAUACAGUAUAAUCCAAUCAUACAGAUCACUCAUAAGUCUAGUAAAGCCUAUACCUGCCUCACGCUUAGGUACCAUCUUACUGGUGGGCUACCAGCGUGCAGACCACCUAGUAUCUCUAAA